RNAcentral lists this ribosomal RNA (266 nucleotides) under uncultured bacterium. Its description in RNAcentral is "partial 16S ribosomal RNA". It matches the Rfam family "Bacterial small subunit ribosomal RNA", at positions 92 to 354 of the family's 1533-position model. The record is from RNAcentral.
CGACCGGCGCACGGGUGAGUAACGCGUAUGCAACCUGCCCGUUUCAGCGGGAUAACCCGGAGAAAUCCGGCCUAAUACCGCAUGUGGCCGAGGGGAGGCAUCUUCUUUCGGCCAAAGGAGGCGACUCCGGAGACGGAUGGGCAUGCGUGACAUUAGCUUGUUGGCGGGGUAACGGCCCACCAAGGCGACGAUGUCUAGGGAUUCUGAGAGGAAGGUCCCCCACACUGGUACUGAGACACGGACCAAACUCCUACGGAAGGCAGCAG